AUGUGCAUGAUUGAUACACAUGCAGGAGAUAUACCUGCUGCUACUAAGGAAGAUGUUGAUGUUGCUGUGGAUGCUGCUAAAAGAGCCAUUUCCAGAAACAACGGUAGAUAUUGGUCUACUGCUUCUGGCUCUCUUCGUGCUUGCUAUCUUCGAUCCAUUGCUGCAAAGGUUCUUAUUCUUUUUUCUAUUUUUGUUCUUCAUGGAUUAUGA
Non-coding RNA from Vicia faba (fava bean), 210 nucleotides. The record is from the annotation of a GenBank genome assembly. NCBI's taxonomy places the organism in Eukaryota, Viridiplantae, Streptophyta, Magnoliopsida, Fabales, Fabaceae.